GCUGGCGGCACGCCUAACACAUGCAAGUACGAACGAAGUAGCAAUACUUAGUGGCAGACGGGUGAGUAACAUGUGGGUAUCUGCCCUUUGGCCUGGAAUAACACGAGGAAACUUGUGCUAAUACCGGAUAAGUCUUUACGGGGAAAGCUUUAUGCACCAUUGGAUGAGCCCGCACUUGAUUAGUUAGUUGGUAGGGUAAUGGCCUACCAAGACUGUGAUCAAUAGCUGAUUUGAGAGGAUGAUCAGCCACAUUGGGACUGAGACACGGCCCAAACUCCUACGGGAGGCAGCAGUGGGGAAUCUUGCACAAUGGAGGAAACUCUGAUGCAGCGAUGCCGCGUGAGUGAAGAAGGCCCUUGGGUUGUAAAGCUCUUUCGUCGGGGAAGAAAAUGACUGUACCCGAAUAAGAAGGUCCGG
RNAcentral lists this ribosomal RNA (417 nucleotides) under uncultured Pseudomonadota bacterium. RNAcentral's name for it is "bacterial SSU rRNA". It matches the Rfam family "Bacterial small subunit ribosomal RNA", at positions 35 to 496 of the family's 1533-position model. Lineage: Bacteria; Pseudomonadati; Pseudomonadota. The record is from RNAcentral.